CGCCUGGGGAGUACGGGUGAGGUAACGGCUCACCAAGGCGACGACGGGUAGCCGGCCUGAGAGGGUGACCGGCCACACUGGGACUGAGACACGGCCCAGACUCCUACGGGAGGCAGCAGUAGGGAAUCUUGCGCAAUGGGCGAAAGCCUGACGCAGCAACGCCGCGUGGGGGAUGAAUGCCUUCGGGUUGUAAACCCCUUUCAGCAGGGACGAAAAUGACGGUACCUGCAGAAGAAGCUCCGGCCAACUACGUGCCAGCAGCCGCGGUAAUACGUAGGGAGCGAGCGUUGUCCGGAAUUAUUGGGCGUAAAGAGCUCGUAGGCGGUUCAGUAAGUCGGGUGUGAAAACUCAAGGCUCAACCUUGAGACGCCACUCGAUACUGCGGUGACUUGAGUCCGGUAGAGGAGUGUGGAAUUCCUGGUGUAGCGGUGAAAUGCGCAGAUAUCAGGAGGAACACCAGCGGCGAAGGCGGCACUCUGGGCCGGUACUGACGCUGAGGAGCGAAAGCAUGGGGAGCAAACAGGAUUAGAUACCCUGGUAGUCCAUGCCGUAAACGUUGGGCACUAGGUAUGGGAUCAUAUCAACGGAUUCCGUGCCGUAGCUAACGCAUUAAGUGCCCCGCCUGGGGAGUACGG
RNAcentral lists this ribosomal RNA (635 nucleotides) under uncultured Actinomycetes bacterium. RNAcentral describes it as "bacterial SSU rRNA". It matches the Rfam family "Bacterial small subunit ribosomal RNA", at positions 234 to 885 of the family's 1533-position model. Lineage: Bacteria; Bacillati; Actinomycetota; Actinomycetes. The record is from RNAcentral.